Molecule: long non-coding RNA, 672 nt
Organism: Apis mellifera (honey bee)
Lineage: Eukaryota; Metazoa; Arthropoda; Insecta; Hymenoptera; Apidae
Exons: 3
Source: RefSeq, a predicted model, not a curated record
UUUUUUAAAAAUAUAUAAUUUUUUUUUCAUCAGAGAUCAAAAUUAGUUUUAUUACCUGGAGUAAACAGUGCUACUGCUUUCAUACAUCCCCAUUCACUUCUAUCUGGUGAAAGUUGCCUAAAACGGCAUAUUGUAUCCUAAAAGCUUCGUCCGGUAAUCUUGCUCGUACCUGUUCAUCCUCCAAUAAGCCGGUAAUAUUCCAAGAUAUAGACCAUUGUGCUAGAUGAAGAAGAAAAAGUUGUGUCCAGGAACCUUCGAGUAAUAAUAAUUGAUCGUUCUUCGAAAGCGAUUGGAAUAGAGUUACCUGUAAUAGUUCUCGCGUGGGAUUGGGAUUUGGUAAAGUUCCCGAAGAAUUAUGACUACCUUCUGUUUGCUCUAAAGAAUAUUCCGUUUCCGAUUGUAAUGGUGCAUUCCAUACGAGUUCCUUAUAAAUGAAAAACAAACGAAUAUUUAAAAAUAAAAUAGAUUUCAUUAGAUCAUUAGAUUUAUUAGAUCUCAUAGAUAAUCAAUAUAAUCAAUAAUAGAUAAAUAUAAAAUAAAAAUAAAAAAUAUAAAUAUAAAAAUAAAUCCUAAAUAAAAACAUGAUAUAUUCACAAUCAGUUACGUUUAAUUUAUCAGUUUCAUCGUGUGAAAACGGUGAAAUUUGUCAGAUUGCUGAUUAUAAAGUUUGCA